CUAAACAAGAAAGGGUGAAUUCUGGAGAUUGGUCCUUCUUAAUCCAAAGACGAUUUUUUCCUUAUUUUCUAAUGCGCAUUAACACCUCAAUAAACAUCACCUUUUCCACCCCAACUCUUGCUCCUCCAUUCCUUCAAAACCCACAACUUGAACCCCACCACCGAGUUGGAUUUUUGGCCUCACCAUUGUUGGAUCUCUAGUGGACCAAUAUUUCUGAUCCCUAGCUCCACUGUUAUGGUCUUUUGACCAUUUUCUCAUUUAGAACUCAAAGGAACGAUGUCCGACCACCAAAUUCCCCAAAAUCUUGCAUUGGUUGGAAGUGAAAGUAGGGGAACUGUGGAAUUAACAAGAGUUUGAAAAAGAACAUUGUAGAUUUUGUAUUUUGAGAUUAUUAUUUUUUUGUAAGAUAUUUAGUUAUUUUAAUGAUGUGAUUUGUAAUUAUUGAUUGUUGUUAUGAAAAUCUUGCAAGUUGUUCAAGAUAUUAUUGCCUCUGUAGAAGAGCUGACUCAAUCUUUUGUCAAGGAAGGUUUCAAGGAAUAUGGAUGUUGAACUAAGGAUGGGAGAAAACGUGACUUAAUGCAAGUUGUUCAACAUCAAGAAGAUGUCCUUAUUAAGGUGGUUUGAUUCAAUAAAAGUGGAUUAUAUGUACAAACCCUUUUCACACACCACGAACUGUGAAGGUGUGCAAAACGUUCAUCUCAGGUCAACACUUAAUACUAUAUUGGUUAACAUUUAAUUUUUCCA
Molecule: long non-coding RNA, 744 nt
Organism: Vigna unguiculata (cowpea)
Lineage: Eukaryota; Viridiplantae; Streptophyta; Magnoliopsida; Fabales; Fabaceae
Source: RefSeq, a predicted model, not a curated record